CGCAAUGGGCGAAAGCCUGACGCAGCAACGCCGCGUGGAGGAUGAAGGUCUUCGGAUCGUAAACUCCUGUCAGCGGGACGAAAGCCCGAAAGGGUUUGACUGUACCCGCUGAGGAAGCCACGGCUAACUCCGUGCCAGCAGCCGCGGUAAUACGGAGGUGGCAAGCGUUGUUCGGAAUUACUGGGCGUAAAGGGCGCGUAGGCGGCAUGGCAAGUCAGAUGUGAAAGCCCCGGGCUUAACUCGGGAAUUGCAUCUGAAACUGCUGUUGCUUGAGUCCUGGAGGGGGUAGUGGAAUUCCCAGUGUAGCGGUGAAAUGCGUAGAUAUUGGGAGGAACACCGGUGGCGAAGGCGGCUACCUGGACAGUGACUGACGCUGAGGCGCGAAAGCCAGGGGAGCAAACGGGAUUAGAUACCCCGGUAGUCCUGGCUGUAAACGAUGGGCACUUGGUGUCGGGGGUAUUGAGUCCCCCGGUGCCGGAGUUAACACGUUAAGUGCCCCGCCUGGGGAGUACGGUCGCAAGACUG
This 525-nucleotide ribosomal RNA is filed under the name uncultured Acidobacteriota bacterium. Its description in RNAcentral is "bacterial SSU rRNA". It matches the Rfam family "Bacterial small subunit ribosomal RNA", at positions 367 to 896 of the family's 1533-position model. Lineage: Bacteria; Pseudomonadati; Acidobacteriota. The record is from RNAcentral.